GAUGAACGCUGGCGGCGUGCCUAAUACAUGCAAGUCGAGCGAACAGACGAGGAGCUUGCUCCUCUGACGUUAGCGGCGGACGGGUGAGUAACACGUGGAUAACCUACCUAUAAGACUGGGAUAACUGCGGGAAACCGGAGCUAAUACCGGAUAAUAUAUUGAACCGCAUGGUUCAAUAGUGAAAGACGGUUUUGCUGUCACUUAUAGAUGGAUCCGCGCCGCAUUAGCUAGUUGGUAAGGUAACGGCUUACCAAGGCGACGAUGCGUAGACGACCUGAGAGGGUGAUCGGCCACACUGGAACUGAGACACGGUCCAGACUCCUACGGGAGGCAGCAGUAGGGAAUCUUCCGCAAUGGGCGAAAGCCUGACGGAGCAACGCCGCGUGAGUGAUGAAGGUCUUCGGAUCGUAAAACUCUGUUAUUAGGGAAGAACAAAUGUGUAAGUAACUAUGCACGUCUUGACGGUACCUAAUCAGAAAGCCACGGCUAACUACGUG
This 497-nucleotide ribosomal RNA is filed under the name uncultured bacterium. RNAcentral describes it as "partial 16S ribosomal RNA". It matches the Rfam family "Bacterial small subunit ribosomal RNA", at positions 28 to 507 of the family's 1533-position model. The record is from RNAcentral.